This 484-nucleotide ribosomal RNA is filed under the name uncultured bacterium. Its description in RNAcentral is "partial 16S ribosomal RNA". It matches the Rfam family "Bacterial small subunit ribosomal RNA", at positions 30 to 507 of the family's 1533-position model. The record is from RNAcentral.
AUUGAACGCUGGCGGCAGGCCUAACACAUGCAAGUCGAGCGGAUGGAGGGAGCUUGCUCCUGGAUUCAGCGGCGGACGGGUGAGUAAUGCCUAGGAAUCUGCCUGGUAGUGGGGGAUAACGUCCGGAAACGGGCGCUAAUACCGCAUACGUCCUGAGGGAGAAAGUGGGGGAUCUUCGGACCUCACGCUAUCAGAUGAGCCUAGGUCGGAUUAGCUAGUUGGUGGGGUAAAGGCCUACCAAGGCGACGAUCCGUAACUGGUCCGAGAGGAUGAUCAGUCACACUGGAACUGAGACACGGUCCAGACUCCUACGGGAGGCAGCAGUGGGGAAUAUUGGACAAUGGGCGAAAGCCUGAUCCAGCCAUGCCGCGUGUGUGAAGAAGGUCUUCGGAUUGUAAAGCACUUUAAGUUGGGAGGAAGGGCAGUAAGUUAAUACCUUGCUGUUUUGACGUUACCAACAGAAUAAGCACCGGCUAACCUCGUG